Long non-coding RNA from Entelurus aequoreus (snake pipefish), 687 nucleotides. RefSeq lists it as uncharacterized. The transcript has 4 exons. The record is from RefSeq and is a predicted model, not a curated record. Lineage: Eukaryota; Metazoa; Chordata; Actinopteri; Syngnathiformes; Syngnathidae.
CUUUUGUUAUCGACGCACCGUGGGGGACGCACUUCUUUGUUAGCAAAAGAUGACUGCAGAAAAAAUAAAUGUGCAGAACCUCAGAAGUGGAGUGUCGUAGUUUUUCGUCAAAGAGACCGUGCAAAGUCGACUACACAGAGUUGAUGGAUGGAUGGAAGGAUGAGGGGAAGUGAAGACGAUGGCCACGCGUCGAAGCUCACAUCUCCCACCUUCUCGUCCCCACCUCCGUCGGCGUCCCAAACAGAGCCUCCUCCGUCCUCGCCUCUACACAGGGAACACCAGGAAGCCGGAGAAGGUGGAGUACUUCCAUCCGCCCAUCAAGUUUCCCCUCUCCAGUUUGAGGUAAGCCCGGUCUCCCUUCUCCAUUUGGAUCAGGACGCCGUUGCUGGCCGCCUCGCGGGUCACGUCCUGGUCGCCGGCGAAAGCCGAAAUCACCGGCCAGCCGUUGUGCAUGAGGCUCACCUGGGCCAGAGCGAGAGGGGAGAGGGAGAUUUGUGAGUGGGAAGGAAAUUACAAGUUGGUAUGACACACAUUUAAAAGGAUCCCUUAGACAAGAUGAAGCAGUACAUCAUGAACUGGUAAAAAUGACCGUGUUUUCCGGACUAUAAGCCGCUACUUUUUUCCUAUGCUUUGUACCCUGCGGCUUAUAAAAUGGUGCGGCUAAUCUAUGGAUUUCUCUUCGCUAAU